GGGGAUGAAAUUGGCUUCGACGGGGAUUUGGAAUUCAGGUAAGCAAGCCGCCAUUGAUUCUCGGCGUAAAACGGAUCACAAACAAUAAACGACGAAAAUAAUUUCGCACUAGCUGCAUAAAAUAAGUCAGCUGCGGCCCUUAGCCUUCCCACAGGUUAACCAGCCGUUCAUUUAGUGGGACACGAAGCUCUGUAAGGUUCCAUAGCAGAGGGGGUAUUUAUGGGACUAGACCUGCCCGGUUUUGUUCAUGAGACCGGUCGGGUGACCUAAACAACCAUGGACUGAGCUUGGAGAAAGCCUUUAGGAAGACUUCUCGGACGCGAGUUCGACUCUCGCCAUCUCCACCA
Molecule: non-coding RNA, 347 nt
Organism: Clostridiales bacterium
Lineage: Bacteria; Bacillati; Bacillota; Clostridia; Eubacteriales
Source: Rfam